UGAGUAGGCGGUUGUAUAUGUCAGGUGUAAAAGGCUAUGGCUUAACCAUGGUUAGCACUUGAAACUGUACAACUUGAGUGCAGGAGAGGUAAGUGGAAUUCCUAGUGUAGCGGUGAAAUGCGUAGAUAUUAGGAGGAACACCAGUGGCGAAGGCGACCUACUGGACUGUAACUGACGCUGAGUCACGAAAGCGUGGGUAGCAAACA
RNAcentral lists this ribosomal RNA (206 nucleotides) under uncultured Eubacteriales bacterium. RNAcentral describes it as "uncultured Clostridiales bacterium partial 16S ribosomal RNA". It matches the Rfam family "Bacterial small subunit ribosomal RNA", at positions 568 to 774 of the family's 1533-position model. The record is from RNAcentral. Lineage: Bacteria; Bacillati; Bacillota; Clostridia; Eubacteriales.